This 1499-nucleotide ribosomal RNA is filed under the name uncultured prokaryote. Its description in RNAcentral is "partial 16S ribosomal RNA". It matches the Rfam family "Bacterial small subunit ribosomal RNA". The record is from RNAcentral.
AGAGUUUGAUCAUGGCUCAGAUUGAACGCUGGCGGCAGGCCUAACACAUGCAAGUCGAGCGAGAAAGCACUUCGGUGCGAGUAGAGCGGCGGACGGGUGAGUAACGCGUAGGAAUUUGCCCAGUAGUGGGGGACAACUUAGGGAAACUUAAGCUAAUACCGCAUACGCCCUAAGGGGGAAAGCAGGGGAUCUUCGGACCUUGCGCUAUUAGAUAAGCCUGCGUGGGAUUAGCUAGUUGGUGAGGUAAAGGCUCACCAAGGCGACGAUCUCUAGCUGGUCUGAGAGGAUGAUCAGCCACACUGGAACUGAGACACGGUCCAGACUCCUACGGGAGGCAGCAGUGGGGAAUAUUGCACAAUGGGCGCAAGCCUGAUCCAGCAAUGCCGCGUGUGUGAAGAAGGCCUGCGGGUUGUAAAGCACUUUCAAUUGGGAAGAAAGAUUUAGAGUUAAUACCUCUUAAUAUUGACGUUACCAAUAGAAGAAGCACCGGCUAACUCUGUGCCAGCAGCCGCGGUAAUACAGAGGGUGCGAGCGUUAAUCGGAAUUACUGGGCGUAAAGCGCGCGUAGGCGGCCUGAUAAGUUGGAUGUGAAAGCCCUGGGCUCAACCUGGGAACUGCAUUCAAAACUGUCAGGCUAGAGUAUGGUAGAGGAUAGAGGAAUUCCUAGUGUAGCGGUGAAAUGCGUAGAUAUCCUGAGGAACACCAAUGGCGAAGGCAACUUUCUGGGACAAUACUGACGCUGAGGUGCGAAAGCGUGGGGAGCAAACGGGAUUAGAUACCCCGGUAGUCCAGGCCGUAAACGAUGUCAACUAGCCGUUGGGGAUCUUAGUAUUCUUAGUGGCGAAGCUAACGCGAUAAGUUGACCGCCUGGGGAGUACGGCCGCAAGGUUAAAACUCAAAGGAAUUGACGGGGGCCCGCACAAGCGGUGGAGCAUGUGGUUUAAUUCGAUGCAACGCGAAGAACCUUACCAGCCCUUGACAUCCUGUGAACUUUCGAGAGAUCGAUUGGUGCCUUCGGGAACACAGUGACAGGUGCUGCAUGGCUGUCGUCAGCUCGUGUCGUGAGAUGUUGGGUUAAGUCCCGUAACGAGCGCAACCCUUAUCCUUGGUUGCCAUCAUUUAGAGUUGGGCACUCUAGGGAGACUGCCGGUGACAAACCGGAGGAAGGCGGGGAUGACGUCAAGUCAUCAUGGCCCUUAUGGGCUGGGCUACACACGUGCUACAAUGGCCGGUACAGAGGGUUGCAAUGCCGCGAGGUGGAGCCAAUCCCAGAAAGCCGGUCCUAGUCCGGAUUGCAGUCUGCAACUCGACUGCAUGAAGUCGGAAUCGCUAGUAAUCGCGAAUCAGAAUGUCGCGGUGAAUACGUUCCCGGGCCUUGUACACACCGCCCGUCACACCAUGGGAGUGGGCUGCAAAAGAAGUGGGUAGUCUAACCUUCGGGAGGACGCUCACCACUUUGUGGUUCAUGACUGGGGUGAAGUCGUAACAAGGUAGCCGUA